UGCAGUCGAGCGGUAGCACAGAGAGCUUGCUCUCGGGUGACGAGCGGCGGACGGGUGAGUAAUGUCUGGGAAACUGCCUGAUGGAGGGGGAUAACUACUGGAAACGGUAGCUAAUACCGCAUAAUGUCGCAAGACCAAAGUGGGGGACCUUCGGGCCUCAUGCCAUCAGAUGUGCCCAGAUGGGAUUAGCUAGUAGGUGGGGUAACGGCUCACCUAGGCGACGAUCCCUAGCUGGUCUGAGAGGAUGACCAGCCACACUGGAACUGAGACACGGUCCAGACUCCUACGGGAGGCAGCAGUGGGGAAUAUUGCACAAUGGGCGCAAGCCUGAUGCAGCCAUGCCGCGUGUGUGAAGAAGGCCUUCGGGUUGUAAAGCACUUUCAGCGGGGAGGAAGGCGGUGAGGUUAAUAACCUUGUCGAUUGACGUUACCCGCAGAAGAAGCACCGGCUAACUCCGUGCCAGCAGCCGCGGUAAUACGGAGGGUGCAAGCGUUAAUCGGAAUUACUGGGCGUAAAGCGCACGCAGGCGGUCUGUCAAGUCGGAUGUGAAAUCCCCGGGCUCAACCUGGGAACUGCAUUCGAAACUGGCAGGCUAGAGUCUUGUAGAGGGGGGUAGAAUUCCAGGUGUAGCGGUGAAAUGCGUAGAGAUCUGGAGGAAUACCGGUGGCGAAGGCGGCCCCCCUGUGACACUGACUGACGCUCAGGUGCGAAAGCGUG
This 717-nucleotide ribosomal RNA is filed under the name Klebsiella pneumoniae. Its description in RNAcentral is "bacterial SSU rRNA". It matches the Rfam family "Bacterial small subunit ribosomal RNA", at positions 56 to 763 of the family's 1533-position model. Lineage: Bacteria; Pseudomonadati; Pseudomonadota; Gammaproteobacteria; Enterobacterales; Enterobacteriaceae. The record is from RNAcentral.